RNAcentral lists this ribosomal RNA (449 nucleotides) under uncultured bacterium. Its description in RNAcentral is "bacterial SSU rRNA". It matches the Rfam family "Bacterial small subunit ribosomal RNA", at positions 330 to 795 of the family's 1533-position model. The record is from RNAcentral.
ACCAGACUCCUACGGGAGGCAGCAGUGGGGGAUAUUGCACAAUGGGGGGAACCCUGAUGCAGCGACGCCGCGUGGGUGAAGGAGUGCUUCGGCAUGUAAAGCCCUAUCGGCAGGGAAGAAGCAAGACGGUACCUGACUAAGAAGCCCCGGCUAACUACGUGCCAGCAGCCGCGGUAAUACGUAGGGGGCGAGCGUUAUCCGGAUUCACUGGGGGUAAAGGGAGCGUAGACGGCCAUGCAAGCCAGGGGUGAAAGGCCGGGGCCCAACCCCGGGACUGCCCUUGGAACUGCAUGGCUGGAGUGCGGGAGGGGCAGGCGGAAUUCCUGGUGUAGCGGUGAAAUGCGUAGAUAUCAGGAGGAACACCGGCGGCGAAGGCGGCCUGCUGGGCCGCGACUGACGUUGAGGCUCGAAAGCGUGGGGAGCGAACAGGAUUAGAUACCCCCGUAGAC